Nymphaea colorata (pocket water lily) is the source of this 11720-nucleotide long non-coding RNA. RefSeq lists it as uncharacterized. The transcript has 6 exons. NCBI's taxonomy places the organism in Eukaryota, Viridiplantae, Streptophyta, Magnoliopsida, Nymphaeales, Nymphaeaceae. The record is from RefSeq and is a predicted model, not a curated record.
AACUUUGAGCGUUUUUUUUUUCACGGAAGUUCAAAUGGCCGUUUUGGAUGUUUCACGACUUCAUUCAUUUUUAUGAAAUGGCGUUAUUUUGGUUCCAUUUUUAUAUUUGAGAGCCAAUCUUGACCCCAUCGAGGUGAGUCAUCAUCAGUCAUCCCUCUUUUCUCUUUCGAAUUUAGGGUUUAGUCCCAUUGCUAUAGUCUGUGGUGCUCGCCUUUUUCCCUCUGUUAAAAUCCCAACUAGGUUCCCUGGGUUUGCGAAUCCGAGGAACCUCAUGUUGAAUCUCUCGCAGAAGACGAAGCGCUUCCAAGACUGUCCGAUCGGCAGCCUUAGACCUUUUCAUUCAUCAGACGAACCCCUUCGCGUCCUGCUCACCUCCUUGACAGCCAUCGGGGGUCUGAUUUUCAGUUGGCAUGGUGUUCUUGCUAGACGUAUUCAUCACCAAAAACAUCUGGCGAUCUGGGUUCUGAUCAGUUGCAACAACAAUGUAGCAAUGACCACUCUUCUGCUUCUUCUUUUCAUGGUUCUAACGUGUUUACAAUUAUGAUUUAGUUCAAGUUCUUUUUGUAAAAAAAAAUGAUCUUUAUACUACCAAAAUUGAUGUUAUAAGCACCGUUCAGUUUUUAACUAUUAAAAUUUAAGUAAAAAACAACUAACCUAAUAUAUAUUUAUCAUCAACUCACUUUAUAGAAGAUUUCAAAAAACUUAGUUUAAUAAUUAAUUUUAAUAGGUCUGGUUUUCAUUUCCUACAUCAAGUGCUCUAGUUUUUAACAACUUAGACGCUUCUUGUAAGAAAAUAAAAAUAGAGGCACUCGGGGUUUUGAUUAUUUAUUAAAGAAAUUUUCAUGUUCGAUCCUAGGGACAAUUUUUUUGUGAUUUUUCUUAAUCAGGAACGAUACGAUUCGUUUAAGUGGAAACUUAAAACCGUUAUGGUUACACACCGGCUCGAUUUCAACGUGGCAUGCUGCAUGUCGGUUUUGCAUGUAGCCCCGCACGUACCCUCAUUCUCUCGAUCACUGCCCACUUCUCUCUCUGUUAACCCAUGGACUCUUGAAGAGCCCGUUGGCAUCUGCGUCAUUACAUCGGCCUCCUGUUUAUCAUCCUCGUACUGUUCUCCAUCUUCAAGAAGCAACUAGGGAAUGCCGUCGUAUAUCGCGCUCGGACCAUGUCGAGGGAUGAGGGGGCUUUCCCCCCCGGCUACCAGGAAGACGCCUUCUCGUUCUGCAGGUUUCUUUCUUCCUUCUUUCGAGCGGGUAGGGCCGGCGUUUGGGGUAACAGAGGACGACUUGAUGAGGAACUGCGGCCUGGACUCCUUGGUGGUCAUUAGGCUCUUCAAAUUUGGGUAGCCUUCUUUUGCUAUUUUCGGAUGUUGUUGGUUUUUUUCUUCCUUCUUGUUCUUCUGGGAAUUUGGUGUCUGGAGCAAGAAGAUUGUUGCUGUGUUUCCCCUUUUGAAACAGUUUCUUGAAGUUGGGUGAGGGGAAAUCCUGCGAGGAAGUAUCACCUUAAGGUCUUUCAAAUUUGAUGGGACACAGAGUUCGAUUUGUGUUGUGUAGCGGCAGAGAUUUCUAUCCGUCUAACAAAUUUUUUCUGACUUUUUGACUCUUGGUCAAUAGAAAUCGUUGGUUCACUCAAUGGUCAUCACGUUUGAUGGGCCUUUGCGGUAUGGUCUUGUUCUUCUGAUGGUAAAGAGGUUUGCCUUUUCUUUUUCCUUGUCAUGAUCCAUCGGUUUACUUUCCUUUUUCUUGGUUCUGUUUCCUGUUCCUUCUUUUUGUUGAAUUCAAGUUUGAUGGGUUUCGGAUGUGGUUUGUGCUCUGUGUUUACAUCCUGCAAGUGAACUCUUUUCUUUCUUUCUGUCUGGAUCAAUGAUUCUUGUUUUUUUCCCGUCAAAUCCUUAUUCUUCUUUUGAAAUUCUCUCGACAGCAGAAUUUAUGCAUGAGAUAUUCUCAUAUUUGCAGUAAGCAUGUUUUUGGGACCGUUCUGUAUGAAACUAUGAUUGACCAUAUUUGCAUUUCUGUGCUUUUUCUUCUUCAGCACAAAGCUUUUUGUGCCGUGUUCAAUAGUCGGAUUACUGGUGCUUGUGCCUGUUAAUUGCACAAGUCGAAAGAGAUCCUCCAGCAUCACCCUUUCAUAUUCGAUUGAUUCUUUUACCAUAUCGAAUAUUGGAAGACGAUCUAAUAGGUAAUACUUUCUUGGGUUAUAUGAAUGUUAACAAGAAUUAUUAUUCCUUAUGAUUUCCUGAAAAACAUUGUUCUUCACGCGUAUUAUUUGGUGAACUCCUUUUAAAUUCACAAAUUAUUACUUUAAUCUUGAGUAGGUUUGUUUUGUUGCAAUGGUGAACUACACAAUUCGUAACAUGUACGUGAGGAUGAAAGAAAACCGAUGCCAUACACUGAUCAUUAUCGUUUGAUUCAUUUUGCUGCAGAAUUGUCAGGGCUCUUUCCUUGCUGGCAUUCUUUUCAUUUUAGUGAAUGUUUUAUGUCAUAUGCUUUUUUUCAUCAGAUAGUACUUUUAAGUUUUUGACUAACGAUUUCCCAGCUUUCUUUAAUAGAAUGCAUCUCGAUCAUAUAUUUAAUAGGUCAUUUUCAUCCAUCAGCGUAGGGAAACAUAAAAAGAAGAGUACAAAAGAAGAGUACUUACUUUGACAUGGAAUAAGACCGGGGCAGAGCUAAAUGUGGGCUUGUGUGGCAGUUGCCCACACGGUCCACAAAAGUUUAUGGAUUUACAUAUUCUUUAGCGCCAACUGUUUGCUUAUUUAUUCUCCUUGGACAUAUUUAAAACUUUGGAUUUUUUGCUAUUCGUUCUUGUUUGGAGCUUGAUUUAACAACCUUGGAAUGACUGCCCAGAUAAUGCAAUAUUUUAAUGAUAUUUUAGAUGAAAAAGUCACACUUAUGACACUUCAUUGUGCAUCUUGAUGCACCGUGGCUGUAGAAUCGAACCAUGUACUACUGGUGAUAUGCACUGUGAUUCAGUUGGAGUAACUUUGCUAUGUUAUAGAGCAUAUUGCUUAGUGUUUUAUGCAAUUUAUACCUAAAAUCCUAUGACUUCAAGAUCAGCAGUAUUGUGAGGUGAAGAUAAUGUGGAAGAGCUUUUAUGUUCAUCAGGGGCGCACAUGCAUACACGAUCAUGUGCAUACACGAAUUGCAGAUGAAGUGUUCUUUCAUCAAUCAUGUGCAUACACGAAUUGCAGAUGAAGUGUUCUUUCAUCCAUGCAUGCAAAUGUUGGGAUAAAUAGUAAUUACCAUAUUAUGAUUUUGCAUUUUAAAUUUUGUUUUAGUCAACCUUCAUGAUUUUUUUUCCGGCUUGUAUAUCCUUCAAUACUCCUCUUGAAUUUUCCAAGUUAUUUAAUUCAGUAUUCUGCAUUGUAUGUUUUACACAUAAAACGAAAAUAUAGGUUGAGCUCCAAACAGUUGAUGGGCUAGUGAAAGAAAGCACUCAGUGUGCUCCAAAUGGUUAUUAUUUCAUUCCAGUUUAUGAUAAGGUAUCAGAAAAAGGUUCACUAGCUUUCUUAUUUUUCUGGUUGCCUGGACGUUUUGUAAGUUUUUGCUGCAAGUGUUAUAGUAAAUUAAACUGCAGUGCUGUUCCACUCCUAACAGAUGUUUCUAUCGGUUUUGUUCACUGUUUCUGUAAAUGUCUCUUCUUCAUUUAAUGAUUCCAAGAGUUUCCUGAAUGAAGCUGCUGAAUUUUGUCACAACAUAUUUUUCUGUCAUGUAAAACUCAAGCCUCUGCAGUUUAUAACUGUUUUCUGCAUCAAAAACUUAUUGGUAAUGUACUUUUUAAUGCUGCUCACUUUUUGAUAAAUCAAUAGCUUCUGGUUGCUAUAGUAUCUGUUGGUCCUUUGUGCAGCUUUCAUGUUCAUUUACGUGCAACUUUCAUGUUCAUUUAGGUUUUAGGACACAUAAUAUAUAAAAAAUACCCCUUUGAUAAGAAACAUCUGAUAAUGAAUGUGGUUCGGGAACUUUAGAGUUUAGAGAUUUACUCUUCAUUAUAGUAAAUGGGUAAGAAGGCAGGUGAACUAUUACAAAGUGAAAGGUUGUUUUGUAUAUUUUGCUAAGCAACAUGGGGUAUGGGAAUUGCCCUGGAGUAUCCGUGUUGGAAUGGCUUUUUUUUGACACAAAUAUGCCUGGGGCCCUGAGCAAUUGGGUAUGUUAGAUGAGAUUUGGUCAGAUCCAAUCCAAAACAUUAAACUUAAGAAAGGGAAAAAGAAUAACACAAUUACCAUGUACAGUUUACCAGCGAGAGAGAGAGAAAGAGAGAGAGAGAGAGAGAGAGAGAGAGUACCAGCAAGAAGAAUCUGAUGGUAGCGAGUUAAGACACCAGAGGGCAAGGGGUGAGCCACCAAUGAGGGCAGAUAACUUGCAAGAGAGAGAUUGCAUGAACCGAUGGCCUCCUAGACCUGGGUUUCUCCUCCUUCAUAAUGACUGAUGAAGAGAACCUGUAUAUAUAUGCUGCUGUGUUUUAACCCAUAUUGUCAAUUGUCAUAGAUGCACCCACACUCAUAACCAUAUCCAUGUGACACAGAUAUUUUGGUGGUGAGGUGGGCUGAAUUGGCUGUUUCUGCUGAAGAUCAGCUUUUAGUGAUUGUCUUAGACUUAGUUGUUCAGUUUCUCAAUUUUUUGUACAAAAAUGUAAAAUGUUCUUAUGAAUCACUAACUUAGAACUCCAACUCCUUUUUGAUAUUGAAGAAAGACUUUUGUGUUUGGCUUGUUUCUAGAAAGAAAACAACCUUAAGGUACUUGGUCUAUGUUCUUUUAUCUAUGUUUGGAACUUUAUAAUUCAGUCCUUAUGGUUUUCUAUUGCAUAAGGUAAUUAAGAAUAUUAAUUUAUGGGCAUUUAUAAUCUAGUAUGGUCUUUUGGGGAUAUUACCUGAAUGUGCCAAGUAUAUUCCAUGUAUUUGUGCAAUAUUUAGCUAAGACUCUCUAACAUGUGCGGUAUCAAGAUGUCAGGUGCUUUCGUAGAGACGUAUACACACACACAUGCUUACAUUUUCGCAUAUAAUGAGCUACCAAUUCAUCUAAGAGACAAAGGAAUAAAUGCUGUGGCAGCUUAAAGCCUUAGCCAGAAAGGAUCUCUUCUCUUACUAACAUUAUGCAUGUUCACUAUGUUGCUGAUGUCCUUUGUACUUACUAACAUUGUGUAUCUUGUGUUGUAACUUUAGGGUUCUUUUGUUGUCCAAAUUAAGGGACCUCAUGGAUGGUCAUGGGAGCCAGAUCAUGUAAUUUGCUGCUUUCUGGUCCCAUGCUUGCCUUUAAAAUUAUGUUCUCUAUUUACUUGUUGUCUUUUGUUAACUCCUUCAGUUACUUUCCUGAACCUUCUUACUUUUGGUAUGUGACAUGGGAACUUUGGAUGCCGAUAUUAUCGUGUUUUAAAUUAAGCUCAUGACUACACGGAAGCUUGCAUUCUUCUGCAACUGACAAAGCAUUAGUUUUGGUCUGUUGGCAACUAGAUCCCUGUUUCUUUUUAUAGUUAUGUAUGUCCCUGAACUUUCAGUGAGAACGUGUAAAUAUGGUAAAGGAUUCUCUUGAUGUAGAUCCAACUUCCACGUAGACUAUUUGGCAGUAUAUAUAUGCCAAGGGCUUGAGGUUGUAAUUGCUGGUUAAAGUAGUCCUUUAUAGACUGAUUUGCUAUAAUUGGAAAGGUUUGGAUUGUGGGUCUUCUGGAAAGUUUUCUCAUCCCCACACCCGAAAAAAAAAAAAAAAAACACACCCUUCCCACCCUUAGGACUCAACUGUAGGACCUGAAGACACUUUCAGCAAAAGCUUGUUAUCUCAUCUGAAGCCAAUGGAAUGUUAAAGAUGUUACCGCAGGAACUGGGAUAUAGUGGAGCAGCACAAUAAGGAUUUGAUAACGAACUUCCCACAUUACUCUCAAUGACUGAGCAUAAAAGAUUGUAGUUAGCUGGCAGGAGAAAGAAGAUGUGAGGUGUGGGAUAGUGUUAAGAUGAAGAACAUUUAUGAGGAGGAUGAAGGAACCUCUGUGCUGUGUUGACAGUGCAUACAGAUUCAGCUCUGGGCAGAUUAAGGAGCUGAGAUUGCUGAUUUUGAUAAAACAGGAGUUGUACCGGAGCCUGUGUUCCAUUUAUUACUAGAAAAUAUGGGAGUUGUUCGACAAGGCUGAUGUCAACCAGUAAUUUUUCAAUCUACUCUACGUUUAAGUUGAAGGUUGUUAAUCACAUCCAUAUGUAAGUGUACAAGAUGAUGGAAGCAACUUUUCUACCGUUGAUUUUAUAGAUGGCUAUGCCACACAGGUACUUGUCAAAGGCCCAAGUACACACAUAUUGUGUACAUAUAUCAUAUAUAAUAUAUAAUAUAUAAUAUAUGUAUAUACUUGUAUAUGUCAUAUCUAACAAUAUAUUAUAUGUAUACAUAUAAUUUAUAUGUAAUAUUGCUUAUAAUAUAUUGCAUAUAUUAUACAACCUAGGAUUAUAUAUGUAUAUAGCUUAUAACGUACGUUAUAUAUAUGCACCAUAAUAACAAUAUAUAAUAUAUGUUUAUAAUCUGCUAUAUAUGUUGUAUGCUAUGUCACAUGCUAUAUAUGUUGUAUGUUAUGUCACAUGGGUACGGGCACGGUGUCGGUACGGGUACGGACCAUUUUUAAAAAACUUAGGUACGAGGUACGGUCGUAUACACAUAUAUAUAUGUCGAAAAAUACAGAAAAAUAUAUUUGCACAUAUCUAUAUCAAAAAUUACAAACAAACACAAUAACAUAUCAUUAUAUUCAUAAAUCAUAAUUCAAAAUACAUUCAAAAUAGAUGAAUCCUCUCAUAAAACGAUGUAUCACCACAGGCUCACAACAAUAACUAGGGAAGACGCAGUUAACAGGGAUCAUGUAGUGCAAAAUCAUAUACAAUAAAAAUGUAUUGUUGGCAAAUUUGUAUUGUAUAAUACAAUACAAAUUUGCCAACAUUAAUAUCUACAAUCAUGUAGUGGAAAAUCAUAUACAAUAAAAAUGUAUUGUUGGCAAAUUUGUAUUGUAUAAUACAAUACAAAUUUGCCAACAUUAAUAUCUACAACUCUACAUGCAGCACUCAUGCAGUACAACGGCAUGAGUGCAGCACCUGCCGGAAAAUCCAAUCCACAUUCAACAAUAUUCUAAGACAGUGAAGAAUGAAAAGAAGGCCUCUAUUAUCUAAAUCUCUGGCUUACCAGGAAGAAAAGAAGAUCAAGUUUAUUAUGAAAACACACGACCUGCUCGCUGCCACGAUUGGCGUGAGCUAUCGAUAGCUCAGCUACCACUGUGUGAAUGGGAGAUCAAUCCGGAUCAUUUUCUUCCAUAAGAAGUCCUGACCUUUCAAAAGAAUCUUCACCUUUUUGGUAUGGUGAGUACUAAUGACAUACAAAUGAGUCUUGACCUUUUUGGAUUCUGACCUUUCCAGAGAGUCCUUCCAUAAUUGUCGAAAGAUGCUCUAGAUUCGCCCACCGCUCUUUGGAUUCCACAGGAAUGGAUGAGCCUGAUUAUGACGUGUGUCUCGACGUCUCGACCGCAUCUUUCUCCGUUUUCAUUAAUGGCGUGUCGGGCCUGGACACAAUCCGCGAGUUCAGACAAGACAAGAUGUUAGGCUAUUGACCUCGGUCAGCCCCUGACUCUGAGAUAGAUAUAAGCAUAGCUUCGUAAUUCAACUUCUCGCACAUCUGCUCUGAAAGCGAGAGCUUGAGAUGCAUCCGUUAAGACACUCGCAAAGCGAAAAAAGAAAUUUCGAACAAAAGGAUCGGAACUCGCUGAUAGGAAAGGAGAGAAAAACAAAGCAAUGCCAACAGAGUCAAUUCGCUGUUUGAAAACAGAGAGAGAGAGAUUUGAAACCCUCUCGGGUAGAGAAAGGGCGAGCCAGAGGGAGGGGUGAUGGGUUUUCACUUUUAGGCGGUGAGUUUUCUGAACACACAACCCGUCGCCGGUCGUUGCCGGCGGCGAAGGCAGGGGCAGAGCAGAUGAAAAUGAAAACAAAAAAUGAAAAAAACAUCACAGUCACCUCCUGCCGUCGUCACCAUUCCCCGCUGGGUUCGCCGCCCCUGCUGUCGCUUGUCGCUGCUGCUUCGUUGCCGGCGAUGAAGGCAGGGGUGGAGCCGAUGAGAAUGAAAAGAAAAAUGAGAAAAAAAAAUACCGUGAGAAAGAGGAACGAAUGUUGUCGCUGGCCGCCACUGCCGUCGCCGGUUGCAGUCGCUGCGGCCGCUGCACACUCGCCGCGGCCGUUGCACACUCACCGGAAGUCGUCGCCAGUCGAAGGCUCGAAGCUGCGGUCGCUCGGUGAGAGGUAAGAAAGAGUAAAGUCGAAUGUUUUAAGGGUUUCGUUUCUUUUUUAACGUUAAAAUGAGUUUAAAAGUUAAAAUCAAAUAAUCGUUAAACAUAAAAAACGGAUGGAUUUGGACUUAGUCAAAGUUGACCGUAUCCAAAAAUGGACGGAUACGACCUUCGGUAGGUUGACCGUACCUGGUACGGUCAACGCCGCACCAUCCCGUACCCAAGCCCGUACUCGUAUCCAUACCGGUGUCGUACCAGUACCGGACGAGUACUCCACCCUCCUAGCUGUACCCGUGUUACUUAGGUUGUAUGAGUUCUUUGAGAAUUUUGGAAAGCUUAAAUGGAAUUAUUAAGAACUCAUGAGCUGCUUAUAUGUAAAUGUUGGGUACCCUUAAGGAACUAACAACAAGAUUAAGAUAUACUUGACUGUGACUUAAGUAUAGAUUAACCUUAAUUAAUAUAAGUUCAAUUAAACUAUUCCAUAAUUAAGAGUUACUAAAUACCUUUCAGUUUGAAAGUAAAUAGCUUCAAAAUUGGGGACAAGAUUGAAAAAUAAAAUAAAAUAAGACGGAGGUCAUUGCACAACCCCCAUUUCAAGACCAAAAGAGAGGGAUAGAAGAAAGAGAUGAGGGGAGGGAGGAGACUGAUUUUCAGGUGGUCAAAUCAACAAGAAUCAGGUAUGGUGUCCCUAGCAUCCCUUUUUGCUUUCGGAAAUGGUUUUGAUUCAGUUAAUGCAUAAUUUCACACCAUAUUUUUGGAAUCAUGCUUAUUUCAUGUGCUGCACGCGUUGAUAACUUUUGCUUGAUGAAAAAUGGUGCAGACUGGGAUAUUAUGCAAACCCUCAACUAGACAGUUUGUGAAAUAGUGCCUUUGCAGCUAGUUUUUGAAUUGCCCGAGCCAUUUUUCCAGUCAUCGGCGGCUGACCAUGGCCAGCUCGGCUUGACCACAACUCUAUCCGUGGCCAUGUAUUGCUGCUGAUGGUCCGCUUGGCUUGUUUUUGACUUCUUGAGGAGCACUGCGUACCUUGUCCUGUUUGGGGUUUGUUGUGCGCAUGUUCCCAUGCGAAUGAUUAUGUUGUCGAUUUUUCCAUCUCUUAUGUAAUUGCAUGAAUAGUUGAAUGUGAUUGCAUGAAUAGUCAACUAGGCAACCUUUAGCAGACCCCUUAUUAUAUUUGGGGUGUUGUGCCAUUUGACCAUAGAAGUGUAGCGCCAAGAAAUGUUAGAUUGAUCCUCCCUAGAGGGGAAUGAAUCAAAAUUUUAUCUGUUGCAUGGCUUAUUCUUAUACUUGUUACGUACUAUUUAUAGUUGCAUGUUAUAAUGUGGUAUGUGGAUUGUGGAGUAUAUGACAGGUGGAGGUUGGAGUCAUGACUGACGCCAAUGUGAUGUAACAGACCUAGUGAAUUGCAUAUGGGCAGAUAGAUAGGCUUAGCCUUUGGAUAUGUGUUCUCUUGAUCUCUUGAUUCAUUGUUAUGUUUUGUUGGUUCAUGAUUAUUGUUAUGUUUUGUUGGUUCAUGAUUAUUAGUCUGAUGUUAAAGAACCUGACUUGGGCUCCACAGGUCCUGCUCCUUAUCAUGAUCAUCUAGAUGCAUUAAGAAGUAACUUAUUUAAUUGUUCAUGCGACAUUAUCGUGAAAUAAAGAAAACAUGCAUCAAUCUUUUCACUCCAUAGCCGCUUUGCCACUCAGUUUCUUAGCUAUUCGUAUUGACACACACACACACACACACACACACAUAUAUAUAUAUAUAUAUAUAUAUAUAUAUAUAUAUAUAUAUAUAUAUAAUUUGUGAAUUUAUAUGGUCAGGGUGUGGCCAUAGAAGUCACACGCUACUCACACACAUCGCAAUGCAUUGCAUUAGAGCUAAAGCCGCCCAAUAAUUUUUAUCGGGUGGUUGUGGAAGUAGGCCUGAACUAGAAGCUAAAACUCAUUAAAGCUUGGCUGGAGCGCAAGCCGAGUCUUAACGAUGUACGACUUCAUAACUCCGACUGGUUUAUGUAAGUGGAAUGGAGUUGUUCACUGAAUCGGUUAGUUAAAGUGUGACUCGGUUCAAAAUAUAACUGGUUCGAAUUGUUGCAAGAAACGAUUCGCACAACUCCUUUUUUAAAUAUUAAACCGCUUUCCAAAUGUGACAGGAAUGAUAGGGCGGCGGCAGAAUUCUUUCUUUCGCUCCUCCACUCAUCCUCGGUGGUCGUCAAGUCCUCCCUCACCUUGCCUUGCCUCUUCUUCGACGUUCGUCGAGUUCUUCACUCCCGACUACCACUCUCCCUGGUCGGCGCCGCGUCCUCCAACUCUCCGACAGUCGAUCUCCCGUCUGGCGUCCAUACCUCGGAAGCUCUUGUGACUACAGUGUCCCGUCGGUCGUCAUUCGUCAGGUUACUCAGGUCCUCCACGUAGUACAACCAAGUUCUAUUCUCUUAUCGUCUCCCUGCUGGUGGAUUAAGAGAAAGAAGACGAGAAGAGGACGAGGAGAGAGAGGCGGCAAGAAGAGGACGAGGAGAGACGAAAGGAAAGAAGUCGUUGAAGAAAAGAGUCGUCGGAGAAUUUACUUCGCUGCCAAGUUCUUCUUACUUCACUACCAUGCACGUGCACACCGCGGGCGGCCUAUAGCCAAGAGACAACCCCCGUGGUGGCCCAGAAUAGAAUGGAUCCAUUCAUCCGCUGCAACGGUAGAACACUCAUCCAUCGAUGUGUGAAUUUCAAGGAGAGAUACUCAACCAUCCCUACGACACCCAGGUUGGGAAGGUGGGAGCCCAACGCUCCAAGCACAUCACACAAUAGUACCCUAGGGCCUUGCACCGCUUGCGCUCCGAACAGACACGUGCACAUCGCGGGCGGCCUAUAGCCAAGAGACAACCCCCGUGGUGGCCCAGAAUUGAAUGGAUCCUUUCAUCCGCUGCAACGGUAGAGCACUCAUCCAUGGAUGUGUGAAUUCCAAGGAGAGAUACUCAGCCAUCCCUAGGACACCUAGGUUGGGAAGGCGGGAGCCCAACGCUCCAAGCACAUCACACAACAGUACCUUAAGGCCUUGCACCGCUUGCGCUCCGAACAGACCUUCCCACCAGGUGGCCGAGAACUAGGGCCAGCACGACCAAGCAAGGCCAAGAGAGUCAAGCACCAUCGGCCAACAUGAUGAAAAGCAUAGAUGAGCUAAGGGAGGCUAACAUAGAACUUGAAGUUGAUGCAGCGGGCGGUGUGGGCGGAGCAUCAUCAGCGGAGCGCGGGUAGCGAGCUGAAGACUUCAAGGCGGAACAGGCACGGGAACUAGACCUAGAUCCGGUUAUAGCGAGUUCGAACCCUGAGUCUAGUCCUGACCCAGUCCACGCGUGGCAAGCCUAAGGCCUAACUUAGGCAAGUUAUAUGGCUGAACCCGUGAGGGAGAGGCCAAACUCACUAAACAUUCGAGACAUCUCGUCUCAGUCUCCUUUUAUGCUUUUGCUUUAUAGUUGAGUCGUUUCAUUUCAGCAAGUGUCUCGGUUCUCAUGUUAAGAACUGGU